AUACGCGGUGACCGGUCGCGGCCGCAAGGCUGAGGAAAGUCCGGACUCCAUAGGGCGGGAGACCUGCUUGUCAAGGGCAGGAGACGACGGGAAAUCCGACGUGACGGAAAGUGCCGCAGAAAACAGGUAACCUCGAUAAGGGGUGAUAGUGAAAAGGCGGGGUAAGAGCCCACCGGCACGUAUGAAGCUACGUGCGCAUGGUAAACCCUCUCCGGAGCAAGAUCAAAUAGGGAAUCGACGGGCUGCCCGUCCGGUGGCCGCGCCAAAAGCGCGGCCUUUAGAUUUCGGGUUGAUCGCUUAGAUGAAUGACCGGACUCUUCGGUUCGCCGAAGAGGAACAGAAUCUGGCUUAUUCGCCGCGUAUCACU
This 367-nucleotide RNase P RNA is filed under the name Kiritimatiellia bacterium. RNAcentral's name for it is "Kiritimatiellae bacterium (gut metagenome) RNase P RNA component class A". It matches the Rfam family "Bacterial RNase P class A". Rfam says of the family: Ribonuclease P (RNase P) is a ubiquitous endoribonuclease, found in archaea, bacteria and eukarya as well as chloroplasts and mitochondria. Its best characterised activity is the generation of mature 5'-ends of tRNAs by cleaving the 5'-leader elements of precursor-tRNAs. Lineage: Bacteria; Pseudomonadati; Kiritimatiellota; Kiritimatiellia. The record is from RNAcentral.